This 4346-nucleotide long non-coding RNA is filed under the name Homo sapiens (human). RNAcentral describes it as "HSALNT0404975". Lineage: Eukaryota; Metazoa; Chordata; Mammalia; Primates; Hominidae. The record is from RNAcentral.
UGUUCCUGGCCACUCCACGUCCCCUCGGCUGCCGUCCUGUGUGCUGCCCUGGGAGAGUGCAAGGAAGGGUGGCCCCCUGAGGCUGAUACGAAAUGCCUCAGUGUGAAUGCUCACCUCGGGCUGAGCCAACCCCUCCAGACACGUUCUGCAGCUCGAGGAAGGAACUGCCCUUUGCAGCUGGGAUCUGCCCGAGUUUCAGCAGCAGCCUUGAAUUGUAAUCCCGAGCGGCUGGCGAAUAACACAGCACACAGCACUCGAGAGCCCAGGUGUCCAGGGUCACUCCCACCCCACCCUUGGCCUCCUGCUGGCUCAGCCCCACACCCCCACCAAAGGGCCAGGCUCCGGGUGAGUGAUCCUCAGGGCCCCCGCACAGGCUGUUCCCUCUGCACACAGGCUAUCCCUGCCUUCCUGUCCAGCCAGUGGGUGGGGAGAAGCGAGUCCCUCCUUUCAGGGAUUCUCAGGAACCGAGUGGCUAUCAGGGUAUGCAGCUGUGAUGCACGUGGCAGGAGAAGACCUCAGACGCCACAGCCUAGCUCUCUGUGGGGCAAGUGUGUCUCAGCCUCUCUCUGAGGAGAGGAGAGCCCCUGGACUGGAGGGUGCCCUGCUCAGCUCUGCCUGGGUAUUCUGUGGCUUGCAGGGUGGAAGGUGAAGGGCUGCAGGCGCUGGCCUUCCCAGGCCCCCCACUGUCUGCCCAGCUUUUCCUUCUUUGGCAGCCCCAGUUCCUUCCUUAUACCCAGUGGGACAGCAGGGCCCAGCCCUAGGGGCCGCAGGAGACAGACAUGCCCCAACUGAGACAGACAAUGGCCAGCAUGGCAGGUGGCCCAGUCUCGGCCACCAGGACGUCCUAGGAGGUACGGCCCCUCAGCUAAGCUGGCUGUCCUUAGUGGCCCAGCUCUGGCUCUGGCUGGUCCUGUGAACUCAAGAUGGCAGACACUGUUCCUGGUCUCAGGCCAGGUCUUGGGUGAAGAACGUUGGGUGUAGGACCCUGUACCUCUCCUCCUGGAACACCCCCAGUGGAUGGCGAGGUCACUGAGGCUCCAUCCAACGGGCAGCCUCCAGGGCAGCCCUCGCUCCUCCCUUGCCCUGGAGGUGGGCACGGGUCAGUGGAAGGAUGGGACUGAGGGGCUGGGCCCUUCACCGACCCUGGAAGGUGGCUCCCUGUGGCCUUCCCUGCAGUUUCCUGGUCCACUGUGGUUCAGCCUAAGACACAGGUGAAGGCCUGGUUAUCACUUGGCUGCUUUUGCCAAAAGAGUGGCUUCCAGUGAAAUCCUUUGGCUGCCGAAAGGCAAAGUCACCCUCCCUCCCUGUGGCCCCAACACCUGCAGGGUUUGUCAGCAGAAGGUUUUCACGGUCCACUGGGCAUUCGCGGGCCUUUGGCAUCCUCGAGGGCCUGCCUUUGAUUAGCACACACCCUUUGCUUGACCCAGAGGGUCCAGAUGGCACUGGCUCCACGGCAUGGCCUUGAGAAUUGAGGCCGGCUUCGGCGAGGAUGGUCCCACCUACUCUGGCCUUCAGGCCUUCACCAGGAGAGAUUCAGGCUGCUGGCCCAGCCAGUCUCUGCAGGGACACCCCGGUGGGCCCAGGGAGGGACUGGGGUCAGCUGGGGCCCUGGACUUACAGUGGAUCCCACUUCCCCCACGUCUUGCUUGGUUCUGGGCAUAAGGGUCCUAGUUCUUAGGGCCUGGCCUGGCCCUCUCACUGCUCCCGGGAAACCUCGGGAAACAUGGCAGGCUGUGUUCCCCAUCCUCAGGCUCCCAAGUCGCUUCUGUCCAGUCCUCUGCUGGUAUCUGUGACUCAGCACCAUGACGGGGCCCUGUCCAGGGCGUCCUGGGCAGAAGGCUGCUCCGAGUGCACAGCGGGCACCCCCAUGGACAGGCUGCGUCCAUGUGCCACUCCUUGGCCGCCCUCUCUUCAUCUGUAGUGAUGACACAGUGACCCCCACCUGCAGGCCUGGUGGCACUGCUGUCACCAGGCACAGGGAGCCUGCCCCCAACCUGGGUGGUGUUGUGGGAGUGGCUGGGCAAGGAACGCUGCUAUCCCUGCUGAGCUGGGUGGGCACUGAUGGGCAUGGGGACCUGGAGUGCUGACCCCUAGCCCUACUGUCGGCAGGCCACGCCUGCCCCUCUGGGGAACUGCUGUGUCCCCCUUGGCUGGCCUAGAAGUGCCUAGAAAUGUCUUUUAUGUGGGGAGUCGGUGGGUGAGGGCCCCACUGUCCCAUCCCUUGAGGAAGGGAGGGCUCUGGGCAGGGUCUGCACCAAUUCCCCAGUGCCUGCUGAGGCCUGUGGCUGCCUCAGGGACAGUGUCAGUCACCCCUUCACCCUGGCAUAGGUGUCCUAUUUCCAGAGUGUAGUGCUGGAUGCUUCUGUUUGGCUGUGUUAAUUGAGACCAGCUUUUACAGAAUGAGCCUCUUGGGGUGGGAAAAUCUGCACAGCCUUGGUGUUUAGGGUAACCUGAAAGUGGAGAGUGAGCCUGGGGUGCAGUCUCACUCCCCCAUGCCCCUGGGCACAGCUACCCACAGGCCCACAGCAGGCAGGCAGGACUGAUGCCAUCCUCCAGAUCCCCCGACCAGGCCCAGAGGUGGGGCCAGGAGAGAUCUGGGGAGUUGGUGCCACCAGAUUUCCCAACCAUGACAGGAUGUCGGGGGGUGGGGGGCAACAGCAGGACUGCCCCAGGCUGGGUCCCCACCCAAGUGAGGCUUGGUCGUGGCCUCAUGGCCAGUUUGUCCCUCUGCGGAUCUGGAGGGGUCCUCGGCUGCAGCAGGGGGCCCAGAUGAUCCUGACCUGGGGAUGGGAAGGCCUCUGUCCGUGGUUCCCCAGCAGAGCGGGGCCUGUUGAGAGGAGCAGGGGAUGGUCUGUUGAAGGAGUCGGUGAACGGAGAGGCAUGCAGGGAUGGAUAUGGACAGGGCGGGUGCUCAGACCCUACAGUCUGAGGUGGAGGGGUGGGGUUGGAGGCUGGAAUGGCCGCGGGGGAGCCUAGAGGGGUAGGGCUGUGGCUCCACCACUGUUGGCUAAGGGACCUCAGGGAGGGCUUCAGAGGCUGGGGCCCUGGCUCCCAAGGCCUCAAGACCCUCCUGCUCCCCCUGAAGGUAGCAGUGACCGCCUCUCAGAAACCCCUGGCAUCCCUGGAGGCUGCAGUCCCCCGCCCCGCCUCCACUCUUUCUCUCUGCUCUGUCAUUUUUCAAAAAUAAUUGUGCAGCAGCACCAGGCUGUCUCUGUGCCCCUCCUGUAGGUUGCCCUACCCCACCAGGUCCCUGGCUCGGCGUCCCCAGACUCUGCCAGGCUGGCCUCACCGUGUGUAUCGAGGUGUUCUCCCUGCAAGGUCUUCAUCAUUCCCCAAUUGCUCGCAUUUAUUUUUCUCCUUCCUUGGUGAGUGGCCCUGCCAGCCUCAGCCUUGUCUCUCCUUGGUGAGCGUCAUUAAUGCAGCUUCCGCGCCACGAUCAGAGGGGGCUGCCCCCACCCUGCCGGCCCUGCCGCUUCUCCUCUGCCCGCCUCGGGAUGGAUGUUCAUUUAUUGCCCAUAAAUCUCUGCACAGCCCUUUGUAAAGACAAAUUGGAGGCCUCCUGUUCCCCGGUGUUGGUUGGGCCGAUCGGUGGUGGGUUUAAUUGGCCCUUCCCGUGGAGGCUGCCCCUGCAGGAGAGGCUCGUUGUGGGCUGGGCCAGAUGCACUGCGUCUGCAGAAGGGGCCAUUCUCUGCCCCUCAUUUUGUCUAGCGUCUGAGGCUGGGCCAUGUGCAGGGACAAAGUGUGGAUCCUCCCUCGGGCUUCCAAAACAUGGCCUCCCCGCAUUCACGUGGCCUGGCAGCAGCCCAGGCCCAGGCAGGGCCCUCUCUCACCCAGGGGGUGAUGCCUGCAGCUUCAACAGCAACCUCCAGGAAGGAGGCGCAUGGGUUCGUUGAGGUGAUACAGGAGUGGAAGAGCUUGGUCCCUUGAAAUGAAUGAUAGGGAAAAGGGGAAGUGCUGCGUAGAGGAGGGUGUGAUCCCUGGCUGGGGCUCCAUCCCACAGACCUAGGUGAGGACAGGCAUUUUUGCAUUUCCCAAGACCACCCUGGCCUGCCACACCCCCAUCCUAUGACUAUAAAAACUCGCGAGACCCUGGCAGGCACGCACAAGCUGCUGGACGUGGAGAGGAGCGGAUUGGCAGAGGAGCACUCAGGCGGCUGGACGUCGAGAGGAACGCACUGACGGGCGCCGGCACCCCGGCAGGCUACCAACCGGCAGCAGAAUGACCUGGAGUUUGGCUGGGGCAGCCAGAGGAGAGCCCGGGCCCGACUCCAGGGGAAAACCGUCCCACUCCAUCUUCUUCUGCCUUCCCCCAUCUGCUACCUCCACUCAAUAAAACCUUGCACUCA